AGAACGAACGCUGGCGGCAUGCCUAACACAUGCAAGUCGAACGCUCCUGGGGCUUCGGUCUCAGGGGAGUGGCGCACGGGUGAGUAGCGCGUGGGAACCUGCCCUGUUGUGGGGGAUAACCGAGGGAAACUUCGGCUAAUACCGCAUAAGCCGGUUGUCUUGAAAGAGAUGGCCGGGAAAGAUUUAUCGCGACAGGAGGGGCCCGCGUCGGAUUAGCUAGUUGGUGGGGUAACGGCCCACCAAGGCAGUGAUCCGUAGCUGGUCUGAGAGGAUGAUCAGCCACACUGGGACUGAGACACGGCCCAGACUCCUACGGGAGGCAGCAGUGGGGAAUAUUGGACAAUGGGCGCAAGCCUGAUCCAGCAAUGCCGCGUGGGUGAAGAAGGUCUUCGGAUUGUAAAGCCCUUUCGGCGGGGACGAUGAUGACGGUACCCGCAGAAGAAGCCCCGGCUAACUUCGUGCCAGCAGCCGC
RNAcentral lists this ribosomal RNA (472 nucleotides) under uncultured bacterium. RNAcentral's name for it is "SSU rRNA". It matches the Rfam family "Bacterial small subunit ribosomal RNA", at positions 26 to 518 of the family's 1533-position model. The record is from RNAcentral.